UACGUAGGGUGCGAGCGUUGUCCGGAAUUAUUGGGCGUAAAGAGCUUGUGGGCGGUCUGUCGCGUCUGCUGUGAAAAUCCGGGGCUCAACCCCGGACUUGCAGUGGGUACGGGCAGACUAGAGUGUGGUAGGGGAGACUGGAAUUCCUGGUGUAGCGGUGAAAUGCGCAGAUAUCAGGAGGAACACCGGUGGCGAAGGCGGUUCUCUGGGCCUUACCUGACGCUGAGGAGCGAAAGCGUGGGGAGCGAACAGG
This 253-nucleotide ribosomal RNA is filed under the name uncultured bacterium. RNAcentral's name for it is "partial 16S ribosomal RNA". It matches the Rfam family "Bacterial small subunit ribosomal RNA", at positions 524 to 776 of the family's 1533-position model. The record is from RNAcentral.